This 379-nucleotide unclassified non-coding RNA is filed under the name plant metagenome. Its description in RNAcentral is "partial contains 5.8S ribosomal RNA, internal transcribed spacer 2, and large subunit ribosomal RNA". The stretch from base 1 to 106 matches the Rfam family "5.8S ribosomal RNA", at positions 49 to 154 of the family's 154-position model. The record is from RNAcentral.
CGAAAUGCGAUAAGUAAUGUGAAUUGCAGAAUUCAGUGAAUCAUCGAAUCUUUGAACGCACCUUGCGCUCCUUGGUAUUCCUUGGAGCAUGCCUGUUUGAGUAUCAUGAAAUCUUCAAAGUAAAUCUUUUGUUAACUCAAUUGGUUUCUACUUUGGUAUUGGAGGUCUUUGCAGCUUCACACCUGCUCCUCUUUGUUCAUUAGCUGGAUCUCAGUGUUAUGCUUGGCUCCACUCGGCGUGAUAAGUUAUCUAUCGCUGAGGACACUGUAAAAGGUGGCCAAGGUAAAUGCAGAUGAACCGCUUCUAAUAGUCCAUUGACUUGGACAAUACUUUUAUGAUCUGAUCUCAAAUCAGGUAGGACUACCCGCUGAACUUAAGC